This 292-nucleotide ribosomal RNA is filed under the name uncultured bacterium. Its description in RNAcentral is "partial 16S ribosomal RNA". It matches the Rfam family "Bacterial small subunit ribosomal RNA", at positions 505 to 796 of the family's 1533-position model. The record is from RNAcentral.
GUGUCAGCAGCCGCGGUAAUACGUAGGGCGCAAGCGUUGUCCGGAAUUAUUGGGCGUAAAGAGCUCGUAGGCGGUCUGUCGCGUCUGCCGUGAAAACCCGAGGCUUAACCUCGGGCCUGCGGUGGAUACGGGCAGACUAGAGGUAGGUAGGGGAGAAUGGAAUUCCCGGUGUAGCGGUGAAAUGCGCAGAUAUCGGGAGGAACACCGGUGGCGAAGGCGGUUCUCUGGGCCUUACCUGACGCUGAGGAGCGAAAGCAUGGGGAGCGAACAGGAUUAGAAACCCGCGUAGUCC